GAUGAACGCUGGCGGCGUGCCUAAUACAUGCAAGUCGAGCGAACAGACGAGGAGCUUGCUCCUCUGACGUUAGCGGCGGACGGGUGAGUAACACGUGGAUAACCUACCUAUAAGACUGGGAUAACUUCGGGAAACCGGAGCUAAUACCGGAUAAUAUAUUGAACCGCAUGGUUCAAUAGUGAAAGACGGUUUUGCUGUCACUUAUAGAUGGAUCCGCGCCGCAUUAGCUAGUUGGUAAGGUAACGGCUUACCAAGGCAACGAUGCGUAGCCGACCUGAGAGGGUGAUCGGCCACACUGGAACUGAGACACGGUCCAAACUCCUACGGGAGGCAGCAGUAGGGAAUCUUCCGCAAUGGGCGAAAGCUUGACGGAGCAACGCCGCGUGAGUGAUGAAGGUCUUCGGAUCGUAAAACUCUGUUAUUAGGGAAGAACAAAUGUGUAAGUAACUAUGCACGUCUUGACGGUACCUAAUCAGAAAGCCACGGCUAACUACGUG
This 497-nucleotide ribosomal RNA is filed under the name uncultured bacterium. RNAcentral describes it as "partial 16S ribosomal RNA". It matches the Rfam family "Bacterial small subunit ribosomal RNA", at positions 28 to 507 of the family's 1533-position model. The record is from RNAcentral.